GACGAACGCUGGCGGCGCGCUUAACACAUGCAAGUCGAACGGAAAGGCCCUGCUUUUGUGGGGUGCUCGAGUGGCGAACGGGUGAGUAACACGUGAGUAACCUGCCCUUGACUUUGGGAUAACUUCAGGAAACUGGGGCUAAUACCGGAUAGGAGCUCUUGCUGUACGGUGGGGGUUGGAAAGUUUCGGCGGUUGGGGAUGGACUCGCGGCUUAGCAGCUUGUUGGUGGGGUAGUGGCUUACCAAGGCUUUGACGGGUAGCCGGCCUGAGAGGGUGACCGGCCACAUUGGGACUGAGAUACGGCCCAGACUCCUACGGGAGGCAGCAGUGGGGAAUAUUGCACAAUGGGCGGAAGCCUGAUGCAGCAACGCCGCGUGCGGGAUGACGGCCUUCUGGUUGUAAACCGCUUUCGCCUGUGACGAAGCGUGAGUGACGGUAAUGGGUAAAGAAGCACCGGCUAACUACGUG
Molecule: ribosomal RNA, 468 nt
Filed under: uncultured bacterium
Lineage: Bacteria
Description: partial 16S ribosomal RNA
Rfam family: Bacterial small subunit ribosomal RNA
Source: RNAcentral